This 74-nucleotide transfer RNA is filed under the name Flavobacterium sp. LC2016-01. RNAcentral's name for it is "tRNA-Ser". It matches the Rfam family "tRNA". From Rfam's summary of the family: Transfer RNA (tRNA) molecules are approximately 80 nucleotides in length. Their secondary structure includes four short double-helical elements and three loops (D, anti-codon, and T loops). Further hydrogen bonds mediate the characteristic L-shaped molecular structure. tRNAs have two regions of fundamental functional importance: the anti-codon, which is responsible for specific mRNA codon recognition, and the 3' end, to which the tRNAs corresponding amino acid is attached (by aminoacyl-tRNA synthetases). tRNAs cope with the degeneracy of the genetic code in two manners: having more than one tRNA (with a specific anti-codon) for a particular amino acid; and 'wobble' base-pairing, i.e. permitting non-standard base-pairing at the 3rd anti-codon position. The record is from RNAcentral. Lineage: Bacteria; Pseudomonadati; Bacteroidota; Flavobacteriia; Flavobacteriales; Flavobacteriaceae.
AAGGUGUUAGCUCAAUUGGAAGAGCAGCUGUUUGCUAAACAGAAGGAUGCAGGUUCGAGCCCUUGCACACCUUU